RNAcentral lists this ribosomal RNA (253 nucleotides) under uncultured bacterium. RNAcentral's name for it is "partial 16S ribosomal RNA". It matches the Rfam family "Bacterial small subunit ribosomal RNA", at positions 524 to 776 of the family's 1533-position model. The record is from RNAcentral.
UACGUAGGGUGCGAGCGUUAAUCGGAAUUACUGGGCGUAAAGCGUGCGCAGGCGGUUUCGUAAGACAGGCGUGAAAUCCCCGGGCUCAACCUGGGAACUGCGCUUGUGACUGCGAGGCUAGAGUGUGUCAGAGGGAGGUGGAAUUACACGUGUAGCAGUGAAAUGCGUAGAGAUGUGGAGGAACACCGAUGGCGAAGGCAGCCUCCUGGGAUAACACUGACGCUCAUGCACGAAAGCGCGGGGAGCAAACAGG